RNAcentral lists this ribosomal RNA (344 nucleotides) under uncultured bacterium. RNAcentral's name for it is "bacterial SSU rRNA". It matches the Rfam family "Bacterial small subunit ribosomal RNA", at positions 8 to 350 of the family's 1533-position model. The record is from RNAcentral.
AGAGUUUGAUCAUGGCUCAGGAUGAACGCUAGCUACAGGCUUAACACAUGCAAGUCGAGGGGCAGCAUGUUGGUUGCUUGCAACCAAUGAUGGCGACCGGCGCACGGGUGAGUAACGCGUAUCCAACCUACCCUUGUCCAUCGGAUAACCCGUCGAAAGGCGGCCUAACACGAUAUGCGGUUCUCAGCAGGCAUCUAACGAGAACGAAAUGUGAAGGAGAAGGAUGGGGAUGCGUCUGAUUAGCUUGUUGGCGGGGUAACGGCCACAGGCGACGAUCAGUAGGGUUCUGAGAGGAAGGUCCCCANAUUGGAACUGAGACACGGUCCAAACUCAUACGGGAGGCA